UACUUCAAAGGACAGACACUAGCCAUCAAACAUAGGUGGGGAAAGACGCUGGUGAUUUUACUAAUCAUAGUCCAACCAGCCCCCAAGCCUAAAGAUAGCCGUGCCUGCCUCCCAGAAGUUGAAUGGAAGUCUCUGAACGGACUCGAGGUCAUUGAAAGGUUUUUUUUAGAUUUAUUUAUUAUAUUUUAUGUGUGUAAGUGUUUUGCCUGCUUGUAUGUCUGUGCCUGCAGAGGUCAGAGUGCAUCAGAUCCCCUGGAACUGGGGUUACAGGUGGUUGUGGGUCAUCGUGUGGGUGCUGGGAGCUACUGAGCCAUCUCAUUAAAAAAAAAAAAACAAA
Molecule: long non-coding RNA, 337 nt
Filed under: Rattus norvegicus (Norway rat)
Lineage: Eukaryota; Metazoa; Chordata; Mammalia; Rodentia; Muridae
Description: long non-coding RNA NONRATT015026
Source: RNAcentral